GACGAACCACCCAAACGUUAUUCGGAAUCACUGGGCUUAAAGCGUGCGUAGGCGGCCUUGAAAGUUAGGUGUGAAAUCCCACAGCUCAACCGUGGAACUGCGCUUAAAACUACAAGGCUAGAGGGAUAUAGAGGUGAGCAGAACAGAUGGUGGAGCGGUGAAAUGCGUUGAUAUCAUCUGGAAUACCGGAGGCGAAGGCGGCUCACUGGGUAUCUUCUGACGCUGAGGUACGAAAGCUAGGGGAGCGAACGGGAUUAGAUACCCCGGUAGUCCUAGCUGUAAACGAUGAGCACUAGAUCGAAGGACUGCACAGUCUUUCGGUCGUAGCGAAAGUGUUAAGUGCUCCGCCUGGGGAGUAUGGUCGCAAGGCUGAA
Molecule: ribosomal RNA, 374 nt
Filed under: uncultured bacterium
Lineage: Bacteria
Description: bacterial SSU rRNA
Rfam family: Bacterial small subunit ribosomal RNA
Source: RNAcentral